GAGUGGAACCCGCCUUCGACAGGGGGAUAAACACUUCUCACGGGGUGCUAAUACCGCAUGAGACCACGGGGCUGCACGGCCCCGCGGUCAAAGAUGGCCUUCUAUUUAUAAGCUAUCGGUCGAAGAUGGCCUCGCGUCCCAUUAGCUUGUUGGCGGUGUAAAAGACCACCAAGGCGACGAUGGGUAGCUGGUCUGAGAGGAUGGUCAGCCACACUGGGACUGAGACACUGCCCAGACACCUACGGGUGGCUGCAGUCGAGAAUCUUCGGCAAUGAGCGCAAGCUUGACCGAGCGACGCCGCGUGCGGGAUGAAGGCCUUCGGGUUGUAAACCGCGAAAGUAGGGAGGAAAUCGCUGGGGGUUCUCCCCCAGUGUUGACCUAUCUUCAGUAAGGACGGGCUAAGUUCGUGCCAGCAGCCGCGGUAAUACGAACCGUCCAAACGUUAUUCGGAUUUAUUGGGCUUAAAGGGUAUGUAGGCGGCCCUUCAAGUCGGGUGUGAAAGCCCUCGGCUCAACCGAAGAACUGCGCCCGAUACUGUGGGGCUC
This 545-nucleotide ribosomal RNA is filed under the name uncultured Planctomycetota bacterium. RNAcentral's name for it is "bacterial SSU rRNA". It matches the Rfam family "Bacterial small subunit ribosomal RNA", at positions 117 to 643 of the family's 1533-position model. The record is from RNAcentral. Lineage: Bacteria; Pseudomonadati; Planctomycetota.